UUGUUCUUACUCUUGAGAGCGCUUCAGAUGAAUAUUAAAUUUAAUAUCAUUUUUGUUAUGAAAUACUAAAUUAAAUUAAACUGCAGGGAUUAAAACCGGUAAAAACGGAAAAUCGCUUUUAUUUUAGUAAUGCUGGAAGCGCUUAUUGGAUACCGAUAUUUGUUAUGUCAAUAAUGUUUGAGUCCAGCCAAACGUUUUUUGCUGUGUUUCUUAUUGUUGGUAUGUUUGUGUUGUCGUCUUAUGGCGCAGUAUAUUGGUUCCAGGGAUGAACUAUCAAGAGCACAAUAUGACUAGCUCAUUCAGUUUUGGUUUCUUACCAAUUCUAAAACGGACCAUUAAAGAUUUUACCCGAGACCUUUGUUCGGCAUGUGUAUAAUGCGAGAAUAGUAAAAAGUUGCAAAAAUAAUAACACACAAUAAUUGGUGUAAACUAUACAACCAAGUAUUGUCUAUAAUGUACGCAAUAUCUACAAUAAAAUAAAUCAUGCACAAUAAUUAUUUUCAUUGUCUAAAUUUGUAUUCAUAUUGAUUGUUCAUAAUCAUUGACUACCCAAUACAUAGAUUAUUUAUUCAACUAUCAUCCAUUUUAUAUACAUAUAAGUGAUAUAAACUACUUAUAAAUAAGAAUUGCCUUACUGUGUUACUCUAUCUUUCUCUGCCAAAACUACUGAAGUGAUUAGAACAAGGUUUUUACUGUUGGAUAGUUUGAUUCUCCUGAAGUUACCGAUAACGAAGACCAGUAGUUUAAACUUUUAAAGAACCCGGAUUAUCAUCAAAGUUAGGGUUUCCAAAUUUCCAAAUUCAAAAUACGGAAUUUAAAAAAAUGUCUAUUUUCCGAAUUAAAAACAUUUUUGCCUCAGCUUAUCACUAUUUGUAUCACAACCAUACUAUCUUUAAUCGUGGUAAUAAUUAAGUUAAGAAUUAAUUAAUGAUAAAGUUAUCUAUCAAUUUUGUUAUCAUUAUUUUAUGAUUAUUUUGGUUAAAAUGUGUGUUUAUUUUAUUAUCUCAUUGUAAAAAAUACUUAUUAUAUCGUUAAUUUUUCGGAAACCAGGAAAUUUUAAUGUCCCGAAGAGAGCUGUCAGGAAUUCAAAAUGUCAUCAAUUUUAUUUUAUAUAUAACCUUAAAUUUAAAUUCGAGCUAAGGAUAUUUUCUCAUACAUAAAAAAAAUAUGUAACCGAUAAGAUAAGACUAUAAGAGCAUAUAGACUUGUAAUUAUAAAUUCGUUAUAACUAAACAAAUAUAUUAUAUUUUCAA
Molecule: long non-coding RNA, 1253 nt
Organism: Myzus persicae (green peach aphid)
Lineage: Eukaryota; Metazoa; Arthropoda; Insecta; Hemiptera; Aphididae
Exons: 4
Source: RefSeq, a predicted model, not a curated record